Molecule: ribosomal RNA, 301 nt
Filed under: uncultured bacterium
Lineage: Bacteria
Description: partial 16S ribosomal RNA
Rfam family: Bacterial small subunit ribosomal RNA
Source: RNAcentral
CAGCAGCCGCGGGAAUACGUAGGGUGCGAGCGUUAAUCGGAAUUACUGGGCGUAAAGCGGGCGCAGACGGUUACUUAAGCAGGAUGUGAAAUCCCCGGGCUCAACCUGGGAACUGCGUUCUGAACUGGAUAGCUAGAGUGUGUCAGAGGGGGGUAGAAUUCCACGUGUAGCAGUGAAAUGCGUAGAGAUGUGGAGGAAUACCGAUGGCGAAGGCAGCCCCCUGGGAUAACACUGACGUUCAUGCUCGAAAGCGUGGGUAGCAAACAGGAUUAGAUACCCCAGUAGUCCCUGUCUCUUAUAC